RNAcentral lists this ribosomal RNA (451 nucleotides) under uncultured bacterium. RNAcentral describes it as "bacterial SSU rRNA". It matches the Rfam family "Bacterial small subunit ribosomal RNA", at positions 126 to 572 of the family's 1533-position model. The record is from RNAcentral.
CUGCCUGAUGGAGGGGGAUAACUACUGGAAACGGUAGCUAAUACCGCAUAACGUCGCAAGACCAAAGAGGGGGACCUUCGGGCCUCUUGCCAUCGGAUGUGCCCAGAUGGGAUUAGCUAGUAGGUGGGGUAACGGCUCACCUAGGCGACGAUCCCUAGCUGGUCUGAGAGGAUGACCAGCCACACUGGAACUGAGACACGGUCCAGACUCCUACGGGAGGCAGCAGUGGGGAAUAUUGCACAAUGGGCGCAAGCCUGAUGCAGCCAUGCCGCGUGUAUGAAGAAGGCCUUCGGGUUGUAAAGUACUUUCAGCGGGGAGGAAGGGAGUAAAGUUAAUACCUUUGCUCAUUGACGUUACCCGCAGAAGAAGCACCGGCUAACUCCGUGCCAGCAGCCGCGGUAAUACGGAGGGUGCAAGCGUUAAUCGGAAUUACUGGGCGUAAAGCGCACGC